This 533-nucleotide ribosomal RNA is filed under the name uncultured bacterium. RNAcentral describes it as "partial 16S ribosomal RNA". It matches the Rfam family "Bacterial small subunit ribosomal RNA", at positions 355 to 883 of the family's 1533-position model. The record is from RNAcentral.
UGGGGAAUUUUGGACAAUGGGCGAAAGCCUGAUCCAGCAAUGCCGCGUGUGAAGAAGGCCUUCGGGUUGUAAAGCACUUUUGUCCGGAAAGAAAUCCUUGGCUCUAAUACAGUCGGGGGAUGACGGUACCGGAAGAAUAAGCACCGGCUAACUACGUGCCAGCAGCCGCGGUAAUACGUAGGGUGCAAGCGUUAAUCGGAAUUACUGGGCGUAAAGCGUGCGCAGGCGGUUUGCUAAGACCGAUGUGAAAUCCCCGGGCUCAACCUGGGAACUGCAUUGGUGACUGGCAGGCUAGAGUAUGGCAGAGGGGGGUAGAAUUCCACGUGUAGCAGUGAAAUGCGUAGAGAUGUGGAGGAAUACCGAUGGCGAAGGCAGCCCCCUGGGCCAAUACUGACGCUCAUGCACGAAAGCGUGGGGAGCAAACAGGAUUAGAUACCCUGGUAGUCCACGCCCUAAACGAUGUCAACUAGUUGUUGGGGAUUCAUUUCCUUAGUAACGUAGCUAACGCGUGAAGUUGACCGCCUGGGGAGUAC